This 253-nucleotide ribosomal RNA is filed under the name uncultured bacterium. RNAcentral describes it as "partial 16S ribosomal RNA". It matches the Rfam family "Bacterial small subunit ribosomal RNA", at positions 524 to 776 of the family's 1533-position model. The record is from RNAcentral.
UACGGAGGGUGCGAGCGUUGUCCGGAAUCACUGGGCGUAAAGGGCGCGUAGGCGGCGCGGAUAGUCGGCGGUGAAAGCCCGGAGCUCAACUCCGGGUCGGCCGUCGAUACUUCCGGGCUUGAGCACUGUAGAGGCAGAUGGAAUUCCGGGUGUAGCGGUGGAAUGCGUAGAGAUCCGGAAGAACACCAGUGGCGAAGGCGGCCCGCUGGGCAGUGGCUGACGCUGAGGCGCGACAGCGUGGGGAGCAAACAGG